GAUGAACGCUGGCGGCGUGCCUAAUACAUGCAAGUCGAGCGAAUGGAUUAAGAGCUUGCGCUUAUGAAGUUAGCGGCGGACGGGUGAGUAACACGUGGGGAACCUGCCCAUAAGACUGGGAUAACUCCGGGAAACCGGGGCUAAUACCGGAUAAUAUUUUGAACUGCAUGGUUCAAAAGUGAAAGGCGGCUUCGGCUGUCACUUGCGGAUGGACCAGGGUCGCAUUAGCUAGUUGGUGAGGUAACGGCUCACCAAGGCAACGAUGCGUAGCCGACCUGAGAGGGUGAUCGGCCACACUGGGACUGAGACACGGCCCAGACUCCUACGGGAGGCAGCAGUAGGGAAUCUUCCGCAAUGGACGAAAGUCUGACGGAGCAACGCCGCGUGAGUGAUGAAGGCUUUCGGGUCGUAAAACUCUGUUGUUAGGGAAGAACAAGUGCUAGUUGAAUAAGCUGGCACCUUGACGGUACCUAACCAGAAAGCCACGGCUAACUACGUGCCAGCCGCCGCCGUAA
RNAcentral lists this ribosomal RNA (515 nucleotides) under uncultured bacterium. Its description in RNAcentral is "partial 16S ribosomal RNA". It matches the Rfam family "Bacterial small subunit ribosomal RNA", at positions 28 to 523 of the family's 1533-position model. The record is from RNAcentral.